This 260-nucleotide ribosomal RNA is filed under the name Ignatzschineria ureiclastica. Its description in RNAcentral is "Bacterial small subunit ribosomal RNA". It matches the Rfam family "Bacterial small subunit ribosomal RNA", at positions 1 to 259 of the family's 1533-position model. Lineage: Bacteria; Pseudomonadati; Pseudomonadota; Gammaproteobacteria; Cardiobacteriales; Ignatzschineriaceae. The record is from Rfam by way of RNAcentral.
AAACUGAAGAGUUUGAUCCUGGCUCAGAUUGAACGCUGGCGGUAUGCUUAACACAUGCAAGUCGAACGGCAGCACGGAGAGUUUACUCUUUGGUGGCGAGUGGCGGACGGGUGAGUAAUGCAUAGGAAUCUACCUUUUAGUCUAGGAUAACUACCCGAAAGGGUAGCUAAUACUGGAUGUGGACUACGGUUUAAAGCAGGGGAUCUUCGGACCUUGCGCUAAGAGAUGAGCCUAUGUGGGAUUAGCUAGUUGGUGAGGUA